This 42-nucleotide small RNA is filed under the name Lentilactobacillus parabuchneri. RNAcentral's name for it is "Lactobacillus parabuchneri rsaj". Lineage: Bacteria; Bacillati; Bacillota; Bacilli; Lactobacillales; Lactobacillaceae. The record is from RNAcentral.
AAUAAAAUAAAGCCUCACUCGAUUAAUUUCGGGUGGGGCUUU